This 178-nucleotide unclassified non-coding RNA is filed under the name uncultured Ascomycota. Its description in RNAcentral is "sequence contains ITS1". The record is from RNAcentral. Lineage: Eukaryota; Fungi; Ascomycota.
CUGAGUAUAUGGGUCUUUUUAGGCCCUUACUCCCACCCUAUGUGUACCUUCUAUUUAUUUGGUUGCCUUGGUGGAAAACCCCACUAAAUCUCCUUGCAGAUUUAGGCGGUUCCACCAGGGGGACCGCCCAUAAACUCUUGUUAAUGGUGUUGUCUGAGAAAAUCAAACAAAUAAAUUA